This 392-nucleotide ribosomal RNA is filed under the name uncultured bacterium. Its description in RNAcentral is "bacterial SSU rRNA". It matches the Rfam family "Bacterial small subunit ribosomal RNA", at positions 30 to 420 of the family's 1533-position model. The record is from RNAcentral.
AUUGAACGCUGGCGGCAUGCCUUACACAUGCAAGUCGAACGGCAGCACGGGAGCUUGCUCCUGGUGGCGAGUGGCGAACGGGUGAGUAAUAUAUCGGAACGUACCCUAGAGUGGGGAUAACGCAGCGAAAGUUGCGCUAAUACCGCAUACGAUCUACGGAUGAAAGUGGGGGAUCGCAAGACCUCAUGCUCAUGGAGCGGCCGAUAUCUGAUUAGCUAGUUGGUGGGUAAAGGCCUACCAAGGCAUCGAUCAGUAGCUGGUCUGAGAGGACGACCAGCCACACUGGAACUGAGACACGGUCCAGACUCCUACGGGAGGCAGCAGUGGGGAAUUUUGGACAAAUGGGGGGCAACCCUGAUCCAGCAAUGCCGCGUGAGUGAAGAAGGCCUCGG